UCUGUGGCCAUUGCCACUCACCUGGGAGCUCAGGUGUUGGGGGCUGAGCAGCAGUGCUCCAGCGCGGAGCCUCCACGUGCUGUCCUCGUACUUCCUUCGUGGGCGCCGCUGCUCCCCUGGGCGCCUCAGCCCAACUCCUCUGCUGACAGCCAGCUGCUGUCUCUGCCUGGCUUUUUUGUUGUUGGUCGUCCUGGAGAUCCAAGUGUCAAAUUACCGUCGCGAGGGGGAGCCCGAGAAAGCCCUGCUUGGGAACUUGUCCUCCAACUUCAUGUUGUCCCGGUGCCUCACCUCUGCCCUGAGAGGGCUGCUCGGGGACAAGACAAGCUCCCUCUCUCCUCCUCCUUCCUCCUUCCUCCUUCCUCCUCCUCUCCCUCUCCCCCACUCCCACGCCGUGGGCUGGGCCUGGGCUGGGAGCUGAAGAAAGAAGUCCGCUCUCGCCUCCCUGGCCAGGAGGACCCUGGGGAGGCUCUACCUGAGCCUGUGGAGGGGAGUCCUGUAGCGCUCUCAGGUCUGGGGCACCCACCCUGCCCUCAGGAAGGCCACCCCUUCUGUCCCUCUGGCCACUCCCUGGCUGGUCCCUCCCUCUGGCCUCUCUCAGGAACAACAGUAAACAGUGGGGAGCUGGUGGCCCUCCCAGGCCGAGCAGGAGGCUUUGCAGCCAGUCCCUGGGGAGGCCCUUGUGCCGCUCAGCAUCUGAAGGCGUCUUGGGGGAGAACUUGGAAUCCUGAGUGACCCGGGAGUGGCCUGCGCGCCCGGCAAGGCGCCUCAUGUUCCUCGUGAGGUGCCGCCAUGCUGCCAUUGCCAAGUACUUCGGGGAUGCACUGCCUGCCUGCGCCAAAGGCUGCGACCACUGCCAGAACCCCACGGCCGUGCGGAGGCAGCUGGAGGCCUUGGAGCGCAGCAGCAGCUGGAGCAAGACCUGCAUCGGGCCCUCCCAGGGGAAUGGCUUUGAUCCCGAGCUGUACGAGGGAGGCCGCAAGGGCUACGGGGGCUUCAGCAGGUACGAUGAAGGUUCUGGAGGCAGCGGGGAUGAAGGCAGAGAUGAGGCCCACAAGCGGGAGUGGAACCUCUUCUAUCAGAAGCAGAUGCAGCUGCGCAAGGCCAAAGACCCCAAGAUAGAAGAAUUUGUACCCCCAGAUGAGAACUGUCCCCUGAAAGAGGCUUCUAGCAGGAGGAUCCCCAGGCUGACUGUGAAGGCACGGGAGCACUGCCUGGGGCUUCUGGAGGAGGCACUGAGCAGUAACCGCCAGUCAACACGUACCACAGAUGAAGCUGACCUCCGGGCCAAGGCUGUGGAGCUGGAACAUGAGACAUUCCGGAACGCCAAGGUGGCCAACCUCUACAAGGCCAGCGUGCUGAAGAAGGUGGCCGAUAUCCACAGAGCCUCCAAGGAUGGGCAGCCCUAUGAUGUGGGAGGCAGUACCAAGAGCUGCAGUGCCCAAGCUGAGCCCCCGGAGCCCAAUGAGUAUGACAUCCCACCAGCCUCCCAUGUGUACUCGCUCAAACCCAAGCGGGUGGGAGCUGGUUUCCCCAAAGGCUCCUGCCCGUUCCAGACGGCCACGAAACUGAUGGAGACAACUCGGAUCAGGGAGCAAGCCCCCCAGCCCGAGCGGGGAGGCGAGCACGAGCCCCCGUGCCGGCCCUGUGGCCUCCUGGAUGAGGACGGGAGUGAGCCCCUCCCUGGGCCCAGAGGGGAGGUCCCUGGAGGCAGCGCUCACUAUGGGGAGCCCUCCCCUGAGAAGAAGGCAAAAAGUUCCUCUGGGGGCAUUUCCCUUGCCAAGGGCCGGGCUAGCAAGAAACAGCAGCUCCUAGCCGCAGCGGCCCACAAGGAUUCUCAGAGCAUCGCCCGCUUCUGCCAAAGGGUGGAAAGCGCACCUCUGCUGGCAUCAGCCCCAGAGGCAGAAGGUGCCUGCCCCUCCUGUGAGGGGGUUCAGGGACCCCCGAUGGCCCCAGAGAAGUACACAGGGGAGGACGAUGGAGCUGGGGGACAUUCGCCUGCCCCUCCCCAGACUGAGGAGUGCCUCAGGGAGAGGCCAAGCACCUGCCCACCCAGAGACCAGGGCACCCCUGAAGUCCAGCCCACCCCUGCAAAGGACACAUGGAAGGGCAAGAGGCCUCGAUCCCAGCAGGAGAACCCAGAGAGCCAGCCUCAGAAGAGGCCGCGCCCCUCAGCCAAGCCCUCCGUCGUAGCUGAGGUCAAGGGCAGCGUCUCAGCCAGCGAUCAGGGCACCUCGAAUCCCACUGCUCAAGACCCCUUCCAGCUCUCAGCUCCUGGCGUCUCCUUGAAGGAGGCUGCAAAUGUUGUGGUCAAGUGCCUGACCCCUUUCUACAAGGAGGGCAAGUUUGCUUCCAAGGAGUUGUUUAAAGGCUUUGCCCGCCACCUCUCACACUUGCUGACUCAGAAGACCUCUCCUGGAAGGAGCGUGAAAGAAGAGGCCCAGAACCUCAUCAGGCACUUCUUCCAUGGCCGGGCCCGGUGUGAGAGCGAAGCUGACUGGCAUGGCCUGUGUGGCCCCCAGAGAUGACCAACUGCUGGUUGGGCAGGGCCCGCGUUCUCCCCCAGAUUCUAGCAUGGGUCAUCCUGGGCCUCGCCUGCUGAUGCCAGGGCCAUCGUCUUUUCUCAGUCCUUCUCCCUUCCAACCAUACUUGGCUUUGGGGAUGACCCCAGACACCCCCUGAAUCCAGGUCAGAGGUCAGCCCACCUUUCUUUCUGCUUGCAAAGCCUAUAGACCCUUCUCAGAGCGGCCCACAUGGCUGGGUUUUCUGGGACACCUCCAGGACAGAAGGUGGAGGGUGGUGGAGCUGCUGCUGGAAGAAGGGGAAGGAAGAGCGGCCCCUCCCCGAGUUUUAAGUCAGGAUAAGGCCCAUCGUCCAAGGUAUUAGAACCUACUCAGGGGAACCGCAGAUCCUCCACCCACUCCCGCAUCCAUUACGAUGCCAGCUUCCAGCCUUGCCCAGGUCAGAGCUGCGGCAGAGGAGAGGCAGCCAGGCCCUGUUCCUGCUCAGCUCCUGCUCAGGAAGGCCAGGCCUGACUGAGAUGUUUGGGAGAGGAAUAAAGUUGUGUUGUUGUGGCGCAUGCACGCGUGCACACAGCCCUUUUC
Molecule: small RNA, 3101 nt
Filed under: Pongo abelii (Sumatran orangutan)
Lineage: Eukaryota; Metazoa; Chordata; Mammalia; Primates; Hominidae
Description: processed transcript
Source: RNAcentral